AGCUGAAGAUAUUUGAUUUGCUCAUAAUCAAGAGAACGAACUGCGCUGAGAACUCCAGUUUCAGAGUUUAGACUCACAUAAGUCGAGACUGGACUACCACUGACCUGUGUAUCCUCUAAAAUAUACGAGAUUCUUGCAUUUUGGCCCCAAUCUGAGUCUCUCGCGCUGACAGUAAAUAUGGAUACUCCAGGUGGAUUAUUUUCUGUGAUGUAAGCAGAGUAAAUUGUUUUAUCAAAUAAUGGCGCGUUGUCAUUUACGUCAGAAAUCUUUAGGUGCAAUUUUGUGGAGGUGGAAAGAGGCGGAGAACCGAAAUCAGUGGCUGUUAUUGUGAUGUUAUAUUCUGAGACAGAUUCUCUAUCAAAAUGUUGAUCUGAGAUCAAAUUGUAAUAGUUUGUCAGAGAUGAUUCAAUCUUGAAAGGCAGUUUCCCAUCGAGCGAACAUUUUAUUUGUCCA
This is a non-coding RNA of Xyrichtys novacula (pearly razorfish), 453 nucleotides long. NCBI's taxonomy places the organism in Eukaryota, Metazoa, Chordata, Actinopteri, Labriformes, Labridae. The record is from the annotation of a GenBank genome assembly.